GACGAACGCUGGCGGCGUGCUUAACACAUGCAAGUCGAACGGGGUUAUCAAGCGGAAAGCUUCGGCCGGAAGCUUGGUAAUCUAGUGGCGAACGGGUGAGUAACGCGUGAGUAACCUGCCUCAAACAGGGGGAUAACACUUGGAAACAGGUGCUAAUACCGCAUAAGACCACAGUGCCGAGUGGCACAGGGGUCAAAGCUCCGGCGGUUUGAGAUGGACUCGCGUCUGAUUAGCUAGUUGGUGAGGUAACGGCUCACCAAGGCGACGAUCAGUAGCCGAGCUGAGAGGCUGAUCGGCCACACUGGGACUGAGACACGGCCCAGACUCCUACGGGAGGCAGCAGUGGGAAUAUUGGCACAAUGGGGGAAACCCUGAUGCAGCGACGCCGCGUGAGUGAAGAAGUAUUCGGUAUGUAAAGUUCUAUCAGCAGGGAAGAAAAUGACGGUACCUGACUAAGAAGCACUGGCUAAAUACGUGCCAGCAGCCGACGG
This 491-nucleotide ribosomal RNA is filed under the name uncultured bacterium. RNAcentral describes it as "bacterial SSU rRNA". It matches the Rfam family "Bacterial small subunit ribosomal RNA", at positions 28 to 520 of the family's 1533-position model. The record is from RNAcentral.